This 199-nucleotide long non-coding RNA is filed under the name Actinidia chinensis (golden kiwifruit). RNAcentral describes it as "long non-coding RNA (ACHI_LNC007766)". Lineage: Eukaryota; Viridiplantae; Streptophyta; Magnoliopsida; Ericales; Actinidiaceae. The record is from RNAcentral.
CGCAGAAAAAAGAUAAUAAAAACAGAAAACAGGGGAGAUGUCUAUUGGUUGACUGAUUUCAAUCAACGUUACACAGUGAAAUCACACAGAGUAGAGUGACAUUGAAAUAGAGAUUUAUGAAUAUAAAAUAUAUAUUGAAAUUUAGAGAGAGAGAGAAGGAUUGAAAGAACGAACCAAACCCUAGGAGAGAGGAGCCCAC